RNAcentral lists this transfer RNA (87 nucleotides) under Novibacillus thermophilus. It matches the Rfam family "tRNA". From Rfam's summary of the family: Transfer RNA (tRNA) molecules are approximately 80 nucleotides in length. Their secondary structure includes four short double-helical elements and three loops (D, anti-codon, and T loops). Further hydrogen bonds mediate the characteristic L-shaped molecular structure. tRNAs have two regions of fundamental functional importance: the anti-codon, which is responsible for specific mRNA codon recognition, and the 3' end, to which the tRNAs corresponding amino acid is attached (by aminoacyl-tRNA synthetases). tRNAs cope with the degeneracy of the genetic code in two manners: having more than one tRNA (with a specific anti-codon) for a particular amino acid; and 'wobble' base-pairing, i.e. permitting non-standard base-pairing at the 3rd anti-codon position. The record is from Rfam by way of RNAcentral. Lineage: Bacteria; Bacillati; Bacillota; Bacilli; Caryophanales; Thermoactinomycetaceae.
GCCGGGGUGGCGGAACUGGCAGACGCACAGGACUUAAAAUCCUGGGGAGGGUUAACCUCCGUGAGGGUUCGAGUCCCUCCCUCGGCA